CUAUUGUCCCAGUUGAUCUGUCACUGGUCAGUUAUCAGUGGAGUAAUUAUUUCUUUUAAGAGAAGAAAUGAUGAAAACGCCUAUUGAAAGAGAGCUUAUCUUAUUUAACAUGUUAUCUCUAUGCUCUCCUGUUUAAAAGUCAAUUGCCAUUUGGUGCUGUUGCCUUCAAAACAUUUUUUUUAAUAUCUUUCCUUCGCCUCAUAUGUAUUUUAAUGGGCUCAUUUUCUUGUCUCAGGGUUACUCACUUUCUUUGUUUAUCAUAAAUUAAUUUUAGAAGUUAUUUUUAUCAUAAUUUAAUGGCCGAUGAUUUAUCAUGAUUUAAUCGAUUUUUGUCUCGUCCGUUUUGAAGUUUCAGAGGUCUUGCACAUUUUUGCUUAUUUUUUGCUGGUAAACUGAGUCCAAUAUCUAUCAAUUAAAUGCAAAUCUCUCAACGUCAUUUCUCAACACAGUUUACGUAGCUGUUUGUUCCAAUUUUUCUCUUGGUCUUGCUUAGUCUUUGGUUUUUACAGAGUUUACUUACAAUUAGGCGGAGAGUAAGCAGAUUGUCAAUUUUAUCAUCAUUUCAAGACUGUAAAAUGUGGACUGUCAUCAAGAAGAAAGAUUUUGAUGAGUUUGACGCCAUCCCCCAAUCAUGGGUACUGCCAAACCACAAGGAGGCCAUGUAUCCAAUCUUGCAACCUUCUGCGAUAAGGAAAAUGGCAGAAAGAGGAGAACGAAUCGGCAAACAUGCAUACGAACUAAUUCAAAUAAUCAAGUACAAGGAUUACGACUCAUAUGAAACAGCCUAUGACAACGCCAUACGCUAUACAUCAGGGAAAACCUCCAAAUCUGCUUCUGAGGGAGAGCCCAAAGGAAGAGGGUUGCGAAAGAAAAGAAAAUCCAGAUAUCUUCAAUCUUCGGAUAGCAGUUCAAGCGAAGAAGAGGUCAGAAAGAAAAAGAAAAAGAAAGGAAAGAAACGCAUCCAACCAUCUUCCUCCAGUUCAGAAGAAAAUUCUGAAGGUGAAAUAGUGGUGCAACGAUCCAAAAAGUCAGAUGAAGCUCAGAGACACAUCCAGAGGCACUUGGAGGAAACUGAAGAUCUUUCGCUCCCUACCAUUCCUCUGUAUAAUCCAAAAUCUGCUCAAAGUUGUGACAACUUCAUGGUAGUCACACCGGGUGCGCCUGCCAACGCGGACAGUCCCCGAAAAUCGCCAAAACCAUGUUCCAAGAUCUCUCAUGAAAAAACUGCUUCUCCCAGUACAAGCAAAUGUGUCGAUGCCAACAGGCCCAGCACAUCUAAAAGCCACACAGAGGAAAUUGCUUCUCCCCACAAAAGUAGUAUCGACAAUGCAAAGAGACAGCUUUUCAAAGGCAAAACCAGUCACCCUAACGCUAAAUGCAAACAGGGAAAAAAAAUCAAGCAUCCUUGUGGAUUCCGGAUGAGUUGUGAGCCACUGGAAGCAAUCAUGCACACGCAGUGCAUAAUUGGAGCUGAUAUCAAUGAGAUUAAAUACAGGCUCAAGAAGCAGAAUAAAAUGGAGAAAGUCAAACGGAAUGAAAGCGGGGACGAUGAGCCGAAAAUCAAAGAAGUUGAAAUGCCAGAGAAUAUUUUAGACAAAUUACCUCUGAAAAAUAAGGUGUCUCUGGACUCAUUUGAAGCGCAAAUCAAGACAGAUGACAAGCUUUUUAAGACGCUGGUUGAUGGAUUUUCGUGGCAUCAUCGCAAUGAUGCGAACAUCACAACGACUGCUAGAGGAGUGCUCAAAAGAAUCUUCGAAGUUUCUGUCCUUUCUUCAUACUCUCUAAAAGGCGGCUCCAAUAAUAAGGGAGAAAAAAAGUUGCCAUUCAUCGAGCUGAAAAGCUAUUCAUUAAUUAUAGAUGUUGUCAAGGCUCUCUGGAAACACAUCUUUCCCUCUUACAAAGAAGAGGCUGACAAAACAUUGGGACCAUACCUAAUCUCAUGCAAAACCCCUACAGCAUGAAUCUCAGUUGGACUCCUUCUUGGCCUUUAAGUUUCACUUACUCUCAGGUUUUUUUUUACAUUUUUAUAAUUUAAAACUCUCGUUGAAAGAAAAGACUGAUGAUUGAUUUUUUUCUUUAAAUUAGUUCGUGUAAGAAUUUGUUCCUCAUCCAAUAAGUUCUCAUUAUUAUCCAUUAGUUACAUUUCUUUGCCUUUAUCGAAAGAAAAGACUUAUGAUUGAUUUUUUUCUUUAAAUUAGUUCGUGUAAGAAUUUGUUCCUCGUCCAAUAAGUUCUCAUUAUUAUCCAUUAGUUACAUUUCUUUGCCUUUAUCGAAAGAAAAGACUAAUGAUUGAUUUUUUUCUUUAAAUUAGUUCGUGUAAGAAUUUGUUUCUCGUCCAAUAAGUUCUCAUUAUUAUCCAUUAGUUACAUUUCUUUGCCUUUAUCGUAAGAAAAGACUAAUGAUUGAUUUUUUUCUUUAAAUUAGUUCGUGUAAGAAUUUGUUUCUCGUCCAAUAACUUCUCAUUAUUAUCCAUCAGUUACAUUUCUUUGCCGUUAUCGAAAGAAAAGACUAAUGAUUGAUUUUUUUUCUUUAAAUUAGUUCGUGUAAGAAUUUGUUUCUCGUCCAAUAAGUUCUCAUUAUUAUCCAUUAGUUACAUUUCUUUGCCUUUAUCUUGAUCAAAGUGUGCUCAAAAGUUUCUUCACAUGCAAUUAUUGUACCCCUACUUUACCUCAUUUUUGGAGAAUCAGUCCUUGAAGCUCCUAAAAAACCAGGCUAUUACAAUUCUGAAGCGUUGUCAUCAUAAUUUUGCCAGUUCAGCAAGCGGCACUUUUUGCCAGAUUUUUGACAUUUGUAGGCAACUUUCGGGCCACUAUCAGGAAAGGUGAAAUAGAGGUCGAAUAAAUUCAUGUGAUACAACUUGGGUCCCGACUCAGAUCAAAAUGUAGCGGGAUUCCAUGUGAUCUUGCCUUCUAAGUCAAAUUCAUGUUAUUCGUUCCAGUAUUGGAUCGUAUUUUGUAUUGUGUUACCCAAUUAUUGUGUUUCUUUACCUUUUGUCAAUGUUCGUUAGUAUGUAAGCUCCAUCAUUCCAUGUGACCUUACGAAUUCUCAUUUUGUACCUGACAUGGAUCCUUGGAUGAGAUUUUCAUCUGUAUAACCUUACUAAGGCUCUUUCCCUAAACCUUUCAAGGGUAGUUUGCUACAGUGCAUGCAGACUAAUCGCAGGAGUUAUUGGUUCAAAUCUUUUUUUCUCCAACAUUUUACAGUGUUGUCAUAUUUCAAUCAAAAAUUGCUACUCUUUGCUUCAAUUUUUUUUUUUUUUUAAACAUUAACAGUUUCAGGUUUAAUUUUAUAUUACAUUGACAUGAAAGAGGUCCGAAUUGCUUCUUGCAGUGAAAAUAAAUACUGAAUAUCUAGCACAUAGUGCAGUAUUCCGUUAUUUGAAUUUAUGCUGUAAUUUGGAUGAGUUACACUAAAUUAUUAAAUUUUAUUGGCCCCAAAGUUGUUCCUAAAAAAAAUGCAACACAGUAUUUCCCAGUUUAAUAUUUCAAAAACCAUGCCACACUAGAAAUAUGUGCCUUCUGACCUCUGUGCACAAACAAAGAAGUCUUUAGUUACUUUCUUAAAAGUCUUAAUUUUUAUAAAGUAACCCCUUAGAAAUACCUACUACAUUUUAUUGUAAAUACUGUUUUGAGAUUUCUGGUCGUGCCAUUAAUUUUGGCACAAAAUAUCUUGUGAUUUAAUGAAGUUCAUAAAGGUGCUCGUACUUGAAAUUUAAGUAGGAAGUUACGCACUGAACCUAGCAUUUAAGAUUAAGAUUAGAUGCUUUUAGUCAAUUGUUCUUCAUACAUCUUUACAUGCAAGUUGUCAGAUUUUAUAAAUUUAUGUUAUACAUUUUUUUUUACUUUUAUGUAUGGACUGAAACAGUGCAUUGUUCUAUUUUUUCCAAUAAAAAAUGAAUUAAAUGAGAUAGAACAUUUUUUCUCUUCAGAUUUUUCCUGAAAGUUUUGGGGCAUGCAGUAGUAGGUAGAUUGUGUAAAAAUUUAAGGAAUAUUCUCAAAUGCAGAGGAGAGUCUUAAAUUGUUACAUUUGUAUCAAGAGCAUAGGGGUUAAGUAUCAUCCGAAGUUUGAUUUUUUUGCAACCCUGUCAAAAUUCGUAUUUUUGCUAAAAUUUGUUAACGCUGUAAAAUUUUGCAACGUCAUAAAAAUUCGCAGUUUUUUGUGAAAAUUUGCAACAUCGUGAAAAUCUGAAAUUUUUUGAAUCUUUGUAACACCUUCGAUAAGUACGCCAUUUUGCUGAAAUUCGUAAACGUUGUAAAAUUUUGCAUCGUCGUAAAAAUUCGAAAUUUUUUGUAAAAAUUUGCAACAAAGUGAAAAUCUGCAGUUUUCGUAAUAUUUGAAACACUGCCAAAAUGUACGAAUUUUUGCCGAAAUUUUUCGAGCGCAGAAAAAUUUUGCAAAAUUUUGCAACGUCGCAAAAUUUAACAGGUUUUUUGUAAAAUAUUGCAACGUCGCAAAAUUUAACAGGUUUUUUGUAAAAUUUUGCAACGUCGCAAAAUUUAACAGGUUUUUUGUAAAAUU
RNAcentral lists this long non-coding RNA (4518 nucleotides) under Bemisia tabaci. RNAcentral describes it as "lncRNA ENSSSA1NGG003998". Lineage: Eukaryota; Metazoa; Arthropoda; Insecta; Hemiptera; Aleyrodidae. The record is from RNAcentral.